This 867-nucleotide long non-coding RNA is filed under the name Marmota monax (woodchuck). Lineage: Eukaryota; Metazoa; Chordata; Mammalia; Rodentia; Sciuridae. The record is from RNAcentral.
UUCAGGACCUUCACUAGUGUUCAAACCUUUUCCAAGUGUUAUGAGUGGAAUGCAGGAAUUUUCAAGUCACAAAAGUUGCUCAUGUGCUCUAGUACUGAUUCAGUGGAUUGUGAAUCCUUGCCCAGGGUCUCAGUGCAUUUCAUGGUCUCCUCCAGUUACAGUUGGGCUCAGACUGUUCCCCCAGAGUCUUAGUGUUUUUCUUCUUUUCAUAAUGCAUUAAGUACUACCAUUAGACAUUCCCAGCUUACUAGUGUGGUUCAGGUUGUUUCUCAGGUUUUCAAAGAGCCAAAGACUUUUCCCAUGGCCUCUGUGGAACUCAUGGCCAUGAUCAGUCUCUCCAUUUUUCUCAAGGCCUCUUUCAGUGUCUCAGUCAAGUUCAGUGCUAUUUCUAAGGGGUCAGCUUAAACUAGAUAAUUCCCCAAUGACACACUAGAUUCAGGGUUUCUGCCACGGUUUCAGAAAUAUCUUAGCACCUUCCCCAUGUUGUCAUUAGAGUUCAUUGUCUAACCCAGGAUCACAGUGUUGCUCAGGACCAACCCACUUUAUUACUGUUAGAACAAAGAGACUAUGCUGGAGGCAAACUUCCCAGAUCAUUUUUGCCCUUAUUCAGGAACAGGACUUCACCAAUGAAAAUGCACCCACUUUACUGGUGGAACAUGAGCUACAAAGGAGGGAAAUGGGCUUAUAUAGGUCAUGGGUGAUUUAGUGAGCAUGUCAGUGUGGGCUCUCAGGGAUUUGAAUCCUUGUGCUGAAGUGUUGGUGGCCAGCACUGGGAGAGGAGUUGUAUUAAAGGAAAUCAAUGUUUCCUAGAAACUAUCACUUCUAGGUUUGCUGAGACUCUUCCUCCCUUCCUGUGGUCAGUGUCUG